UAAUCUAAUCUAAUCAGACCCUAGCGCAGCCAAUCUUUCGAAGGGAUCCUGGAGAGUGCCUUAGGUUAGAUGACGCCUAGCACUCUUCUUGUCAUUUAUUAACAUUUGUAGUGCGCCAUUGCAUCGGAAUGCAUUGAAACAUCACAAGCGUUAAAGCGGCCAGGCCUACUGCGUAAAGCAGUAUCGCAGAGAUGACUCGUAAUUGGGUUGAGUUUGAGCACUGAGUGUUCGAACAACAACACAAUUCUGAAUCGACAGGGGAGGAAGAAGCGUGGGGACACACCACCAUACGCUCCGAGAUUUUGGUUGUAUUCGUUGGGAGCACACCCAAAACUGGCAGCGCUAGUCCGAGAGAAUGAUGGUCUCGAGUCGAGAGAAUAGUGGUACCAUUCACGGACGCAGAGAACACAGCUUGAGAUGGGCGAUAGAACUAUUCUCUCGAGGUUCAUUUGCAAAAAAAGUUCAUCCGUCAAACAAAAAACCAAAAGUGUCGACAACGGGAAUCGAACCAGAGACCUUUGACAAACCAAUCCAAUGACUUAGCUGCCUCGGCCACCACAGCUUGGUGACCAAGGAGAAGUCAGAAGUCGAUGUAUGACACUUGUUGGAGAUUUAUUGAUUCAACUAACGAAUGAACUCAUUUGUUAUGAUGGUGUGUGUUACGGAGCGGCGCGCGCUGAGUCUGCAGAAAAUACUUCUCGGCGAUGCAAGAAGCAACCCACCGAGUCUUGAAUCAGCAUCAGCUCACGUCGUCCUCGCAGCUGAUGUACAGAUACGUCAAGUUGGAUGAUUUGUUGAAAUUGAAGUGAUCGUAAAGGAGAAAGUGGGAGGACGUUGUGAUUUCUUUGAAUAUUGAAAAUUCACGCGAGUAAAUCGUUCUUUUUGCUUUACUUACGGUAGCUUAACACUCACCACUGGGACUUUGUAAGGGCUGCUGAAGAAAGUUUUUCUGGUCAAACGAAGGUGUCCAGAAAAGCUGCGGACUGACUAGAUUUCGCACAAGCACGACAUUGCCUACCUGUUGGAGGACAUACACGGAUAGGGUGACCAAUGUACGCAAAACUAACCUUAAACCUAGAAUUACUAUUAAUUUGAAUAAAUUUAGCUUUUAGCGAUUCCACAUCAAUCAACGGUGUGCUGCUCAAAAGAACCCGAAAAAGUCCCAACAGUGUGAGUUGGUACCAUUAUUCUAUCGAUUUUGGCACUGAGCCCUCAAUAAAUUUUGAGAGAACGAUUAUCUCGAUUCUGAAUUUUGGGUGCACCAUGCUAAGAAGGUUUGGUACUCCGGGACCCUCUGGGAUGGGACAUUGUAUUUCCACGAGUGCCCUCGACUCUAUUUGCCGUGGUUAUAGCGCCACAACUCGCUCUCUGUAACAGUAUUCCUAAUUCCAGUCUACGUUCACCAAGUCUUCGUGGCCUAGUGGUUAGCAUUUCUGCUUACCAAUCCAAAGGACGGAGGAUCGAACCCCGCCUCGAGCGACUUAGAUUUUUCAUGCAUAUUCAUCAUUUCAAAUUUAUAUGUUCUUAACUUUCUCGUUGGGAGCAGAUGGGAAUCGAA
This is a long non-coding RNA of Culex pipiens pallens (northern house mosquito), 1558 nucleotides long. RefSeq lists it as uncharacterized. The record is from RefSeq and is a predicted model, not a curated record. NCBI's taxonomy places the organism in Eukaryota, Metazoa, Arthropoda, Insecta, Diptera, Culicidae. The transcript is spliced from 3 exons.